CAGGUUUGUGCAGAGGCAACAGCAACACAUGUUUGCCAUUAUCAACCUGUAGAUUUGGUACUAUAUUAGUUUGAAGAUUGUGUCGGAUCCACAAGAGAGGCAAAAUAUGGAGUGGAAACUACAGUCCAGACACUGCAGGCUUUGAAAGAUUUGCAUGGAGCACAGGUCGGGAUGCUCCCGUUCAUCUUUGGUUUGUUCCGGGCGCAUCGCAGUGCCUAGCUCCACCUGUCUACCUACUUCCUCGCUGUUCUCCUGCUUGCAGGAUCCCAUCUUGAUUUCCGAUCUCAUUAGAUAAGAGUCACAUGAGGGUGAUUUGAGCAAAGAGUUGAUGUCCCUUGAUGUUGUAUGCGAUGUGCAGCUGCAGAGGUUCAGUCCAUGCAUCUUCUGCAAGGUAAAAUUGUACAUGGUAAUAUGGUGUAUAAUCCAGAUGGUGCCAUACAAGCUAUCAUUUGUAUUUGUUCAUGGGGAACCUUUUGUUGCAGAGUAUGCUCGUAUCCGACCAUCAGCUUGUGAAGGGAUCAUAAUAUAUGCCACCUCUCUAUACU
Lolium perenne is the source of this 545-nucleotide non-coding RNA. Lineage: Eukaryota; Viridiplantae; Streptophyta; Magnoliopsida; Poales; Poaceae. The record is from RefSeq and is a predicted model, not a curated record.